Molecule: unclassified non-coding RNA, 1219 nt
Filed under: Hevea brasiliensis (rubber tree)
Lineage: Eukaryota; Viridiplantae; Streptophyta; Magnoliopsida; Malpighiales; Euphorbiaceae
Source: RNAcentral
GAGGAUCAACUAUUCUCAACUGGCACAAAUAUUUUGGCUACACAAAAAUGGGAUUGUAGUAUUACGUCUAUCUAUCAACUAUUCUAAAUCUUACAAAGGAAUAGUUUUUAGGUUGUUUUUUUUUAAAAUUUAUGCCUCUCAAAAACCAACUCAUAUCUCUAGCGGCGCCAUAAUCGACCAUGCUGCUUUUGCUCUUGCAUACGCCUUUGGUGCUCUUUAGAUCGCUCAACAAACUCUUUAGGAAUAUCACGUCCUUGGUAUGAAGCUAAUACAGCUCGGAUAUCAGCUGGCCUGUGUUUAGCAACGUAUUCAAGAAAUGGAAUAAGAUCCAAAAGCACAGUAUCGUCAGCCUCUCCUUUCCAAGGUUUUAUUUCUAAGCAAUUUUCUGGUUGUAGGCUACUUUCUAGUGCAUGUCCACUCAAAUAUAUUAUCUUUGAGGGAUCCCGAUUCAACUUGGAAAGAUCUCUGAAAUGUUUGCCAUCAACAUAUCUAGUAUCACCUCUUGAUAGUCUGUACCGGAUGCAGUGCUUUGGAUCCAAUCUUUCGAUAACAGGAUCAACAUACAUGCUUAGUUGAUCAGAAUAUACGACAAUCUCAAAGUAUUGAGCCAAAUAUUCCAAAAAAUCCUCAACCCCAGGUCUUUUGAAUGUUCUCCAGCCUCUGUCACGCUUCCAAUCAGAGUAUAUCAAUGUUUCACUAAGAUCGAGAACAAGAGUGAAGACAUGUUGCUCAAGUGGAUGCAAAUCUGGCAGGAGCUUGUCUGAUGUUGGUUCACUAAAACCUCGAACUUGGUCUUCUGUCAACCGCCUUAACUCAAUGUAUAACUCAACUAACUUCGCAGGCACUGUCAUCGCCGAGGAGUAUAGUAAAGCUUGAAAUUUAUCCAAAGCAGAUGCAUCAUCUCCAACAGCAUAUUUCGCAGAUUCACGCAAACUUUUGGUCUUAUCCUCAAUUUCAUCCGUUGUGUAUGCAUAGGUAGCGUAACCAGCUGUGGCAACACCACCGGUAACAGCAGCAAUAACACUGUACUUGAGAAAACUCCAUGAUUUAUUCUCAGCUACAGAAGAUUCCAGAGGAGGAGGAGGAUUCUGAGAUGGCGGAGCCUGAUCUUUGAGCAGAGAAGACGAUGAAAUUAUCGGUUCCUUUGGAGGUUCUGAAGCUACACUUGAAGAAAAUCGCCGAUUGCUCCUUGAAAUUAUGGAGAAGAUGCGCGAUUUCG